CCGCCAUCACAAUCCUGCAAGCACUUUUAAUGGGGUCUCAGCCUCAAGUGAUGUACUUUUAAAAGGUAAAAUCUUUAUUUGAACUAUAAUUAUCUCACCCCUUUUGACUUUUCUCUCUUCUCCUCAAGUUUGUCUCUUUCUUUUCUCUUCCUGCCUUUUGAAACCCUAAUAAAGCAUUGAACUUCGCUACCCAGAUGUUAUUAUUCACUGGCUUUUCUUUCUUCUACUCAAACUUUUUCUCUUUCCUCUUUCUUCCUGCCUUUUGAAACCCUAAUAAAACAUUGAACUUUUCUAUACCCAGAUGUUAUUAUUCACUACUAUAUAUGCUCAAGAACUCUGCUUUUCCUUUCAAGAAGAUUCAACUCAUAUUGAAAAUUAGUCUUUCAAGCUAGUUAUUUAACUUUGUUAAUGGCUGUAGAUAAGUUCACAGACGAAGUAGAACCAGUUUUACCCGAUUAUCAAUACUCAGAGCCAUCAAAAGAAGGGUUUCUUUUCCGAAACUCAGCCCGGGGAGCCAUGAAAGAUGCAGGCACUGAGGUACAACACAGAGAUAUUGGAACAGAGAUGACACCUCUUGGCAGCUCCACCACUUCAAGAUGCCACACCCCUUUCAAGAGUUCAUCGCCUGCACGUCAUAACACGCCGGCAAAUAGAUCUGGUCCAUUGGCAUUAACUCACCCAACUAGCCCCAACAGCACCAUUGACAUUGCUCAUUUUCAAGAAUGCCAUUUAGCCAAGCUACAAGUUGGCACUCAGUAUGAUUCUAUCACAUCAAAUUGGAGCUCAAGGGAAGAGGAAGAAGAAGAAAUAUCAAAGAGUCUCAGACAUUUUGAAACAGGAAGUGGGCGCAGAACAAGUGUUUCAGAUUCAAGACUUUCUACUUGGGUUGAUGAGGAGAAGACUAAGUGUUGCCUGAGGUAUGGUAAAUUCUUAAAGGGUACAUUUUAAUCAUGUAAAAAUUUUGAGGGUUUAGGCUGUUUUUCUCAGAUACCAGAGAGAAGAAGCAAAGAUCCAAGCUUGGUUAAAUCUUCAAACUGCAAANNNNNNNNNNNNNNNNNNNNNNNNNNNNNNNNNNNNNNNNNNNNNNNNNNNNNNNNNNNNNNNNNNNNNNNNNNNNNNNNNNNNNNNNNNNNNNNNNNNNNNGCGCAUUUUUAUGUAUUUUUAUUUAAAAAUUACCUUAAAAAUAUUUUUUUAUUAAAAGAUUAUAUUGUGUGUCAUCUAAUCAAUAUACCCACAAAAAAUGAGAUGACUAUGCCCUAUGAGCAUGAAGACAAACACAGGACACAGCCUUAACAUUGGCAACUUAUGAAAAACACCCUUGAUAUUCAUUAUUUACAAUAGGCAAAUUUUAAAACUAGAAGACUAAAAAGCUUCCCAAAAAGGGUUCAGAAAAAAUGAAACAGGAAAGAUUUUUCAAAAACUAACCACUUACAUUAUAUCUCUAUUCUUAGGCGGAGGACCCAUUAGACUAUAGUAUAAUCUCUCUGUUCCAUUCCCUCUUCCAAUAACUCUCCACCUCUUUUCCCCCAAGUACUGUUUCGUCUUCUUCUUCCCCAUUUUCUCAAACAAGGCAAGAGCUACAACAUAAUAUCAGUCGUUAUUGUUGUUCUAUUUUAGAAUUAGGGAGUUUAAAGCUCGCUCUUCACUGCAUUGCCUUGUCUAGCUAUACUGUUCUACUGCAAUCUCUCAUGACAAUAUCACUGUUUUCGAUCAAAAUGAUGCGGGCGUAAGCUAUGGAUCUUACAAGUCCCAACUACUUUCAGUCUCCUUCUCUGUUUUCAUCUAAUGGGGUAAGUAAAGAUAAUAACUUUUAGUAAAGAUAAGAACUUUUAGUUUGAUUCUUUUCUGCUCGCAGUUUUCCCCAAUUGGGUUCUGGUUCAUUUUUGUUGUUAAGGAUAUACAAGCACCGCCAUUCUUGUUGCAGGGUAGUCCGAGCUUCUAUGGGAGAAGUGAAGGAAACCCAUUUGCUGCAGAAAACUUCCCUGACCCGCUUUGCAAGCUGAAUCUUAAAGAGACUUCUGAGUUUGUGAAGUCACUGCCUAUGCCGGCGGUUUCAAAUGCGGUUCCUGCUCAGAGGAGGAGAGAUGGAAACUCAGUUACGCAGAGGAGAAUGGAGGCUCCAUCUACACCUGGUAGACCAGUUUUCAGUUUUAAUGCAGGGAAUUUAUCCAGAAAAAGUUUCCCUUCAAAGUGGGAUGAUGCAGAGAAAUGGGUAAUAAGCAAUUCUUGUCAUGAUUCUCCUGCUCAUUCCAUCAAACCACCGCCUCAAUCAUACAAACAAUAUGAUAGCUUUAAGCAUAGAAUGGAGGUGGUGGUGGCAGAGAAAUCACGGGUGACGGAGGAAAAAGUCUCCAAGAUUGUCUCAACUUUCCGAGGAUCUGUAACUUUGGACCACCGCCAUCACAAUCCUGCAAGCACUUUUAAUGGGGUCUCAGCCUCAAGUGAUGUACUUUUAAAAGGUAAAAUCUUUAUUUGAACUAUAAUUAUCUCACCCCUUUUGACUUUUCUCUCUUCUCCUCAAGUUUGUCUCUUUCUUUUCUCUUCCUGCCUUUUGAAACCCUAAUAAAGCAUUGAACUUCGCUACCCAGAUGUUAUUAUUCACUGGCUUUUCUUUCUUCUACUCAAACUUUUUCUCUUUCCUCUUUCUUCCUGCCUUUUGAAACCCUAAUAAAAACAUUGAACUUUUCUAUACCCAGAUGUUAUUAUUCACUACUAUAUAUGCUCAAGAACUCUGCUUUUCCUUUCAAGAAGAUUCAACUCAUAUUGAAAAUUAGUCUUUCAAGCUAGUUAUUUAACUUUGUUAAUGGCUGUAGAUAAGUUCACAGACGAAGUAGAACCAGUUUUACCCGAUUAUCAAUACUCAGAGCCAUCAAAAGAAGGGUUUCUUUUCCGAAACUCAGCCCGGGGAGCCAUGAAAGAUGCAGGCACUGAGGUACAACACAGAGAUAUUGGAACAGAGAUGACACCUCUUGGCAGCUCCACCACUUCAAGAUGCCACACCCCUUUCAAGAGUUCAUCGCCUGCACGUCAUAACACGCCGGCAAAUAGAUCUGGUCCAUUGGCAUUAACUCACCCAACUAGCCCCAACAGCACCAUUGACAUUGCUCAUUUUCA
RNAcentral lists this long non-coding RNA (3114 nucleotides) under Carica papaya (papaya). Its description in RNAcentral is "long non-coding RNA (CPAP_LNC010642)". The record is from RNAcentral. Lineage: Eukaryota; Viridiplantae; Streptophyta; Magnoliopsida; Brassicales; Caricaceae.